GGGCCCGUAGCUCAGCGGUUAGAGCAGCGGACUCAUAAUCCGUUGGUCCCAGGUUCGAAUCCUGGCGGGCCCACAA
Molecule: transfer RNA, 76 nt
Filed under: Acidobacteriota bacterium
Lineage: Bacteria; Pseudomonadati; Acidobacteriota
Description: Acidobacteria bacterium tRNA-Met
Rfam family: tRNA
About the family: Transfer RNA (tRNA) molecules are approximately 80 nucleotides in length. Their secondary structure includes four short double-helical elements and three loops (D, anti-codon, and T loops). Further hydrogen bonds mediate the characteristic L-shaped molecular structure. tRNAs have two regions of fundamental functional importance: the anti-codon, which is responsible for specific mRNA codon recognition, and the 3' end, to which the tRNAs corresponding amino acid is attached (by aminoacyl-tRNA synthetases). tRNAs cope with the degeneracy of the genetic code in two manners: having more than one tRNA (with a specific anti-codon) for a particular amino acid; and 'wobble' base-pairing, i.e. permitting non-standard base-pairing at the 3rd anti-codon position.
Source: RNAcentral